Molecule: unclassified non-coding RNA, 348 nt
Filed under: soil metagenome
Description: partial contains 5.8S ribosomal RNA, internal transcribed spacer 2, and large subunit ribosomal RNA
Rfam family: 5.8S ribosomal RNA (bases 1-120)
Source: RNAcentral
GAUGAAGAACGUAGCGAAAUGCGAUAAGUAGUGUGAAUUGCAGAAUUCAGUGAAUCAUCGAAUCUUUGAACGCACAUUGCGCCCCCUGGUAUUCCGGGGGGCAUGCCUGUCCGAGCGUCAUUGCUGCCCUCAAGCACGGCUUGUGUGUUGGGCCCCGCCCCCCGGCUCCCGGGGGGCGGGCCCGAAAGGCAGCGGCGGCACCGCGUCCGGUCCUCGAGCGUAUGGGGCUUCGUCACCCGCUCCGUAGGCCCGGCCGGCGCCCGCCGGCGACCCCCCUCAAUCUUUUCAGGUUGACCUCGGAUCAGGUAGGGAUACCCGCUGAACUUAAGCAUAUCAAUAAGCGGAGGA